Laetiporus sulphureus 93-53 is the source of this 133-nucleotide transfer RNA. It matches the Rfam family "tRNA". From Rfam's summary of the family: Transfer RNA (tRNA) molecules are approximately 80 nucleotides in length. Their secondary structure includes four short double-helical elements and three loops (D, anti-codon, and T loops). Lineage: Eukaryota; Fungi; Basidiomycota; Agaricomycetes; Polyporales; Laetiporaceae. The record is from Rfam.
GGCCGGCUAGCUCAGUUGGUUAGAGCGUGGUGCUAAGAUUGCAACCUUCUGGUAACCCAACAUUGAAAGGUUUUGGUUUUGGUGAUGCUUGUAAGUGAGGCCAAGGUCGUCGGUUCGAUCCCGGCGUUGGCCA